RNAcentral lists this long non-coding RNA (854 nucleotides) under Vulpes vulpes (red fox). RNAcentral's name for it is "lncRNA (ENSVVUG00000015836.1)". The record is from RNAcentral. Lineage: Eukaryota; Metazoa; Chordata; Mammalia; Carnivora; Canidae.
UGAAGAGUGGUUUUAAAGACAUACGGUUUGAAUCACCCCUGUUCCAUAGAGUCACAGAAAUAAGAGCUGAAAAUGACCUGCUUGGCCAUCUUGCCCUUCCGGAGCCAGUACACGAUGGCUCCCUGUAGAUGAGGCUGCCUUAGUUCCAUGGGGUUAGAUGAGCCAAGUGUUGGGGGACUCCUCAUUCCCUCCUCCAUGAGUCGGUCACCGAACAGUUCUUACUGCUUGGAAACUUUCCCAACCCCAAGCCAAAGUUUUCCUUUGCUCCAUUGCAUUUAAUUAUCCCUCCUUUAUGCUGCUGGGCCUCUGACUCAUUCUUUUGUCUCUAGCAGUUUCCACUCUUCCCAAAGGCCCCUGGUUUUGGGGACUGUCCCCAGUGCCCUGGCUGUUUUGAAUGUUCAUCAGUGCUUCACCUUCUCCAAGCUAGGGAACCUCCAGAAUGAAGCCCUGAGACUGGCACACAACAAGGCUUGGGAAGCAGUGAAGCUGCCGAAGGUGCUUGCUUGCCGAGAAGUUGCCAAACUGUCUCCAGGUUCCAGCCUCCCCGGCGUGGCCUCCAAGCCUUCUGGGAGAGCUUGGACGGUGUUGCUGGCCGAGGGCUGUGAUGUUUAUUAGCAGUGGAGACAAGGACCUGCCCUGCUGAGGAGUUUUAUGACAUACCAAGAACUCUGUCUGUGGCCUUUCCUACUUCUGAGAAAAACAAAUGCCAGGAAACAGGAUUUGAGUGAGUAAAAUAUAAAAUUGGUGUAGAGCACAUCCCGGCUGGUGUAAUGCCCUCUGAGGAUAUCAACCCUAAGAAAAACCAUCACAAUCUUUAUGGUUCAGGUUUUGGUUCUUUUUCACUUCCUUCUUCA